UCCAAUGUGGGUUUCCUGUAUAGAUUGGAAGGGAUAAUGGGAUCUCUAUGGCGUCUGUGUGGGGUCUAUGCAGGGUUAUGGGGUCUCUAUGGGGUCUUGCAGUGUCUAAGGGGGGACGAGCGUGCAAAGGGGCGUGCAAAGGGCGUGCAAGACUGCAGGUGACAGGUUCAGUGUGGGUUUUUCAUACAGGUUGGAAGGGAUAAUGGGAUCUCUAUGGCGUCUGUGGGGGGUUAUGGGGUUCUAUGGGGUUUUGGGGUAUUUAAGGUGGGAUGAGCGUGCAAAGGGUCGUGCAAGGCGUGCAAGGGGCGUGCAAGACAGCAGGUGACGGGUUCAGUGUGGGUUUCCUGUAUAGAUUGGAAGGGAUAAUGGGAUCUUUAUGGGGUCUGUGUGGGGUCUGUGUGGGGUUAUGGGGUCUCGAUGGGGUUUGGGGGUAUGUAAAGUGGGACGAGCGUGCAAAGGGGCGUGCAAGGCGUGCAAGAGGCGUGCGAGAAUGAAAUAUUCAGGGAGUCCAGGAGGAUUUUCCUUAUGGGUUGGAAGGGAUAAUGGGGUCUCUAUGGGGUCUAUGCGGGGUGAUGGGGUCUCUAUGGGGUCUUGGGGUGUCUAAGGGGGGACGAGUGUGCAAAGGGGCGUGCAAGGCAUGCAAGGGGCGUGCAAGAAUACAAGUUCUUUGGUUUCAGUGUGGGUUUCCUGUAUAAAUAGGAAGAGAUUAUGGGGUUUCUAUGGGGUCUAUGUGGGGUUAUGGGGUCUCGAUGGGGUCUUGGGGUGCAUAAGUGGGGAUGAGAGUGCAAAGGGGCGUGCAAGGCGUGCAAAGGGGCGUGCGAGAAUGAAAUAUUCAGGGAGUCCAGGAGAAUUUUCCUUACGGGUUGGAAGGGAUAAUGGGGUCUCUAUGGGGUCUAUGCGGGGUGAUGGGGUCUCUAUGAUGUCUUGGGGUGUCUGUGGUGGGACGAGCGUGCAAAGGGGCGUGCAAGACGUGCAAGGGGCGUGCAAGACAGCAAGUUUCAGGAAUUCAAUGUGGGUUUCCUGUAUAGAUUGCAAGGGAUAAUGGGGUUUCUAUGGGGUCUGUGUGGGGUUAUGGGGCCUUGAUGAGAUUAUGGGGUGUCUAUGGGGGAACGAGCGUGCAAAGGGGCGUGCAAGGCGUGCAAGGGGCGUGCAAAAAUGAAGUAAACAGGGAGUCCAGGAGGAUUUUCCUGACGCGUUGGAAGGGAUAAUGGGGUCUCUAUGGGGUCUAUGCGGGGUGAUGGGGUCUCGAUGGGGUCUCGGGGUGCAUAAGUGGGGAUGAGCGUGCAAAGGGGCGUGCAAGGCGUGCAAAGGGGUGUGCAAGAAUACAACUUGUAUGGUUUCAAU
This 1344-nucleotide long non-coding RNA is filed under the name Numida meleagris (helmeted guineafowl). Its description in RNAcentral is "lncRNA (ENSNMEG00000002955.1)". Lineage: Eukaryota; Metazoa; Chordata; Aves; Galliformes; Numididae. The record is from RNAcentral.